UACGGGGGGAGCAAGCGUUGUUCGGAUUUACUGGGCGUAAAGGGCGCGUAGGCGGUAGCACAAGUCAGUUGUGAAAUCUCCGGGCUUAACUCGGAAAGGUCAACUGAUACUGUGCGACUAGAGUGCAGAAGGGGCAACUGGAAUUCCUGGUGUAGCGGUGAAAUGCGCAGAUAUCAGGAGGAACACCGAUGGCGAAGGCAGGUCUCUGGGCCACUACUGACGCUGAGAAGCGAAAGCAUGGGGAGCGAACAGG
This 253-nucleotide ribosomal RNA is filed under the name uncultured bacterium. RNAcentral's name for it is "partial 16S ribosomal RNA". It matches the Rfam family "Bacterial small subunit ribosomal RNA", at positions 524 to 776 of the family's 1533-position model. The record is from RNAcentral.